CAAAAACAUAACCAUUUGGUAUUAUAGAUGGCUCUUUCUGCUCAAUGAGGUUUAAAUGGCCGCAGUACCCUGACUGUGCAAAGGUAGCAUAAUAAUUUGGCUUUUAAUUGGGGUCUGGAAUGAAUGAAAAAUUGGAGAGAGGCUGUGUCAGGGGAAAUGUUUGAAAUUACUUAGUAGAUGAAAAUUUCUACAGUUAAAUAAUAGACGAGAAGACCCUUGAAAUUUCAAUAAUUGUAAUCUGUUCUUUUUGUUGGGGCGACAGAGUAGCAGGUAAACCUACUGAGAAGAAUUUGGUACUUGUUUGGUGACUAAUUAAAUUACUCAAGGGAUAACAGCAUAAUGAAAUUCGUUUGUGACCUCGAUGUUGGACUAGGAAAAUUAAACCCAGAAGGUGAUAGUUAUGGCUCUGUUCGAGCG
Molecule: ribosomal RNA, 417 nt
Filed under: Satsuma jacobii
Lineage: Eukaryota; Metazoa; Mollusca; Gastropoda; Stylommatophora; Camaenidae
Description: partial 16S ribosomal RNA
Rfam family: Bacterial large subunit ribosomal RNA
Source: RNAcentral